UCCUUCUUGCCAUAUUCUCUCUCAUAAAUUUAUCACCAUUCAUGUACAUAAUGUCAUUAUUUAAUAUUAAUAAUGCCCCAAAUUUCAUAUUUCAAAUUUUGAAUUCAAAGUUAAAAAUUAAAAAAGAAUAAUAUAUUCCAUCAAUUAUUUCUGUUUUUGUUUUUGUUUUUAUUUUUCUCUUCGGCUCCUCUUUCUUCUUCAUCAAUUUCACCACCUCUAUCUUUUUCAUCUUCUUCAGUUUUUUUUCAUUAUCUAUUUCUGUUUCUCUCUUCUUCUUCUUCUUCGGAUAUCAUGCUUGCCACUCUCAUUAUCGCCCUUUCCUUCCCAAGCUUCUAUUCAAACCCAGAAGCCAUCCACUGCUCCUUCUCCCACCAGCGACGGGUCGUCAAUAGAUCAAGGGAUUGCAUAUGAGCAAGAGAAUGAAGGGACUCAAAGCUGAAGGAAGCGCAUACCGGAGCGUUAGGCUCAGGGUAACCGCCGCAAGGAGGUGCGUUGGGUCAACGUCAUUGGCGACAUUCACAGGAACAGAGGAGAUACUUCGAAGCCUUCAAACGGCUCUGAAUCUGAAUCAAUUACGAAGUUCUGCGAAAAUACUUGCUGGGAAAGGACUUGCUCCCUACCUGCCAAUCCCUUAGUGAGAUGUACCUUCGACUCGAGCAGUUCUCUGAUGCUCUACCUUACCAGAAGAUGCAGUUAGACCUUGCAAGGAAUGCCCCUGCCAAGGUUUCCUUAGUUUUCUUGCUCUUUGCGGCAUUCUCCACUACGUUAGGGCAAUGAGUGACGGGUUUUGAGUGAUUGGAAGGGUAGAGUUGAGGGUUCUUCCAUUGGUCUACCUUUUGGUUUGCGUUACAUUUUCAAGCGUGAAUGGAUGUUGAAGUUUUCCAUUGUUCAGGGACAUGGAUUGAAGACCAAAUGCAUUAGAUAAAUGAUGAAUCUGAAUUUUUUACAAGGGUAUACCGUAUUUGAAGCUUGCUAAUGAGGUGAACUACUGAUGAUUUAUUAUCUAUUUUAUAGGUAUUUUAUUUUUGUCAUUGUAAGAUUUAUGGAUCACACUUUCGGUUUGGCUUAUUACUUAAAGUCUCACUAAUUGAUUGGGUUUGUAGUUGAUGAUAAUUUUUUUGGUGAGACUUGAUUUUGAUUUGGCAGAGAACCUAAGUGAUUGUAUGGAUGUUCAGAUAAAAAGAUGAGCUGUAGGAAAACAAAAAACCAAUAUGCAAUCACUGCUAUCAUCAUUACAAGAUGGGUUUGUUUGCCAUUGGUAAUGGAUGCGAGAAGUUAAGGAAUCUAAUAUUAAGUCACAAGGGUUUGGAAGUAAUUGCUACCGGAUGCAAGGAACUUGCACAUCUUGAAGUCAAUGGAUGUCACAAUAUUCGAGCUUUGGGGCUAGAAUCCAUUGAAAGAUCUUGCCAGUAUGUAUGUAAAAUAAGGAAUGAAUUAACCAUUUAAUAAAUAGGCAACAUAAGGAAGCAUGGCACACAUGUUUGGCCUCUUUAUAUUUACAUUUGGUCAAGUUUUUCAUUGCUUGCUAUGUGUGUUUCUCUGUUUAUUUUUCGUUUGUGGUGCUAAGCUCGGCUUUCUAUUGGCAGACGUCUUAUUGAGUUGGCAUUAUUUUACUAUCAAAGAAUUGUUGAUGUUGGUCUUCUCCAGGAUGGAGAAGGAUGGGAGUUCCUAUAAACUCUUCAACAGGUAGAUUACUCAAACCUUGGGGAUGGUGCUAUAUUUGGUAUACCUAUUGGUUGUAGGAAUUUAAAGGAACUUCAUAUCCAUUGUUGUUAUGAGGUGCUUCAUUUGCAUGCCUAUUUGGUUUACCAUGUUAAACUUCAUUUAAAAACGAGUAUUUUUGGGAUGGCUCGCUUUCAAAAUGCUCUAUGUGUAAUAUGAUAUAGGAGAAUGACUCUUAACUCAUUUUGUCUCAACACACAAUUUUACUAAUUUUUCCUUUAUCUAAAUGGCUUCUUUUGGUGAUUCCACAUUCAAAACUAAUGUUAGUCAAUAAAAUUUGAAAACCAUGAGAGUUUGAGACCAGUGAGCUACAUGAAAAUGAAUGUUAAAAUGCAGUAUUUAACUUGGUUACAGCAAUUUAUUCAUGUCCCAUGCAUAAUCUACCAUUCCCUUUUGAUCUGUUUCAUCGUCCAAUAUUGCAUUUCCAUUCUGCACACACAUGAAAGUGUGUUACGUUUUCUAUAUAUGAUAUAGUAAAUGAAUUGGUAUAUGCUAUGAUGUUUAUGCAACUUUGGCAAAAAUUUUAAAACGUUGCUGAAAUUAAAACAUAUUUUUUAGUAUGUUACUCAUUUUUGUUGAGCUUGAAGAUUAGAAGUGUUUCAUCCAGAUACAGUUUUAGCAUUAGUCUUAGGCUUUCAGCCUUUUUUCUCUUAUCUUUUAAUUCAGUUUUUCCCAAAUUUUUGAAAGGUGCAGAUGAUUCUGUCACAAGUUGAGGUUAUUACUGCUUGAUUUCGAUGGCUGAUUUAUAUAGCUUUAUUGCAUCAGCGUUCUAUGCCUUUCUCAUGGAGUCUUGUCGGUACACUAACGCCACGGUCACUAGCCGCCAUCGGAAAUCGCACCGACACUGUUCCGACUGGCGCCGUUGCUGCACAGGCCACCGCCAAGGG
Arachis duranensis is the source of this 2609-nucleotide long non-coding RNA. RefSeq lists it as uncharacterized. The record is from RefSeq and is a predicted model, not a curated record. Lineage: Eukaryota; Viridiplantae; Streptophyta; Magnoliopsida; Fabales; Fabaceae. The transcript has 7 exons.